This 1221-nucleotide ribosomal RNA is filed under the name Mammilla mammata. Its description in RNAcentral is "16S ribosomal RNA". The stretch from base 403 to 1221 matches the Rfam family "Archaeal large subunit ribosomal RNA", at positions 1423 to 2930 of the family's 2987-position model. Lineage: Eukaryota; Metazoa; Mollusca; Gastropoda; Littorinimorpha; Naticidae. The record is from RNAcentral.
GAUUAGCUUUAAUAUAUAAAGCUCUCGAAAUCCAAUGAGCUACUUUUAUUAAUGAAUUUUAGUUUAUAAAGAGUAGGUGUGGCAAAACCUUUCUUAUAAAUAAAAGUAGAAAUGAAAUUUUAUCCGUAUUGGAUGAUAGCUAGUUUUCUUUUAAAAACAUAGAAGUGUUUAAAUUUAUAAUAUAUAAUUAAAUUAUUUUAAUUAUAAUCAAUUAAAUUUAAAAGAUUUUUAAGGAUAAGCUUGAAAAUAUAAAUUCUAAGAGAUAUUUAAAUAUUUUUAAAAUUUAGGCUUGAAACUAGCCAAAAUUUCAAAAUUUGUUACAAUUUAUUAAAAAAUAAAAUAAAAAUUAAUAUAUAUAAAUAAUAAAGGAAAAUUAUUAUAAACUGAAUUAAUAAAAAUUAAUGCUAAAAUGAGUAUUUUUAGAAUAUUAUUUUUGAUUAUGUAAAUUAUCAAAAUUUUAAUAUAAAUUUAUUAUAAUUAAUUUUUAUGAAGGAACUCGGCAAAUAAUAUUGUUCUGCCUGUUUAUCAAAAACAUGGCUCUUUGAAUUAAAUUAAUAAGGAGUCGGACCUGCCCAGUGAUUUAAUUUAACGGCCGCGGUACCCUGACCGUGCAAAGGUAGCAUAAUCAUUUGCCCUAUAAUUGAGGGCUAGUAUGAAUGGUUUGACAAGAGCAAUACUGUCUCCAUAAAAAUUAAUAGAAAUUAUUUUUUAGGUGAAGAAACCUAAAUAAAAUUAAUAGACAAGAAGACCCUAUCGAGCUUUAAAUCUAUUCAAUAAAAUAAAGAAAAUAAAAUAUAUUUCUAAUUAUGAAAAAUUUUGGUUGGGGCGACUAAGGAACAAAGAAAGCUUCUUUAUAUACUUAAAAUUCGUAAAUAAUGAUCCAUUAUUUAAUGAUUAAAAGAAUUAGUUACCGUAGGGAUAACAGCAUAAUCCUUUUUGAGAGCUCAUAUCGAAAAAAGGGUUUGUGACCUCGAUGUUGGACUAGAAUUUCCUGAAAGAUGCAGAAGUCUUCGAGGGUUGGUCUGUUCGACCAUUAAAAUUCUACAUGAUCUGAGUUCAGACCGGCGUGAGCCAGGUCAGUUUCUAUCUUUAAUUCUUAUACUAAGUUUAGUACGAAAGGACCAAUUUAGAGUAAUAAUUUUACAAAAUAUAGACGAAUUAUAAUAAUAAAAUCAAUAAUUAAUUAAUAUAAAUUAAUUAAAUAGAAAUGGCAGAUAAGUG